GAUGAAGAACGCAGUGAAAUGCGAUACUUGGUGUGAAUUGCAGAAUCCCGUGAACCAUCGAGUCUUUGAACGCAAGUUGCGCCCGAAGCCAUCAGGUUGAGGGCACGUCUGCCUGGGCGUCACAUAUCGUUGCCCAAUGCCUAUUGCAGUGCAAUAGGAAUUUCUAGGGCGAAUGAUGGCUUCCCGUGAGCGUUGUUGCCUCGCGGUUGGUUGAAAAUCGAGUCCUUGAUAGGGUGUGCCAUGGUAGAUGGUGGUCGAGUUAGAACGAUACCGAUCAUGUGCAUGCUCCCCAAAAUAUGGCCUCUAUGACCCACACGCGUCUUUUGACGCUCAUGACGAGACCUCAGGUCAGGCGGGGCUACCCGCUGAAUUUAAGCAUAUCAAUAAGCGGAGGA
Molecule: unclassified non-coding RNA, 395 nt
Filed under: soil metagenome
Description: partial contains 5.8S ribosomal RNA, internal transcribed spacer 2, and large subunit ribosomal RNA
Rfam family: 5.8S ribosomal RNA (bases 1-122)
Source: RNAcentral